Long non-coding RNA from Hordeum vulgare subsp. vulgare (domesticated barley), 464 nucleotides. RefSeq lists it as uncharacterized. The transcript has 2 exons. Lineage: Eukaryota; Viridiplantae; Streptophyta; Magnoliopsida; Poales; Poaceae. The record is from RefSeq and is a predicted model, not a curated record.
AAAAAGGAAGAACAAGAAGAGACCUGUGGAAGAUGGUCGAGUGGCAAAAGACGAACCUCCACGUGUACAAGCUGCUGCUGCUGUUCAGUAUACACCAACAAAAGCUUGUACCGCAACGUUGAAAGCUAGCCCAGGGCCUGUGACUGAAUGCAACUAGCUGCAGUAUCUCGGAGCCUGACUACUGCUAUGGCUCCACCCAGAAAUGCAAAGAAAGUGGCCAAAAAGAAGAAAAGAAAGAAGUGAAAGGCCAAGAGGAUGUUGCUCUUGGGUUGAACUGUUGCUGUGCUGUUGCUAAUGUGAUCUGCGAAACACAGAACCAGGUGAGUUUAUGGAACUACUAGUCACUCACUUUAUGCUUUAGUUAAAUGUGGAUCAUUAUGUGCUCUUUGCUGUCAUAGACAACUAGUCAUCAUGUGUGUGUUCUAGUGAUGCUUUUGCUGCUAUUUCCUGUCGAAUUCGUGCUA